This is a long non-coding RNA of Dromaius novaehollandiae (emu), 435 nucleotides long. RefSeq lists it as uncharacterized. NCBI's taxonomy places the organism in Eukaryota, Metazoa, Chordata, Aves, Casuariiformes, Dromaiidae. The record is from RefSeq and is a predicted model, not a curated record. The transcript has 3 exons.
UCCUUUACACCUGCCUGCGGAGCACCCGGCAGAGCGCUCGCAGGUGCUUUGUGCUGCGGGCCGUGUUCCUCCUGGCCCACUCUCACCCACAGCCGGUGCUCGACAGCCUCCUCCAGGCGUGCCUGCCCACAGACAGAUCACCCACGCCCUCUGCGAGGUGGUGUCAGUGCUGCAGAGGAAGACACUGGUCCAGCGCCUGCUUCCCUCCCUGCUUCCCGGCCUUCUGAGGCAGGUCAGCGAGACGCUGGGGGAGGAGCUGGCACCGUCCGUUGGGGACCUGGAGAGCGCUGACAUGCCGGGCAGCCUUUUUGUGGCGGCAUUGGAGCUGGUGCUGGCGAGGUGCCUGGACAAUCGGUGGCUGCGGCUGCUCCGGGAGCAGGGAGCGUGGGCGUCCCUGGCAGAGCCCCGGGCUCACAGCACCGGCGUGUGUCUCCU